RNAcentral lists this transfer RNA (67 nucleotides) under Tryonicus parvus. Its description in RNAcentral is "tRNA-Pro". The record is from RNAcentral. Lineage: Eukaryota; Metazoa; Arthropoda; Insecta; Blattodea; Tryonicidae.
CAGGGGAUAUUUUAUCAUAAAAUAUUAGUUUUGGGUAUUAAUGAAAAGAGUUAUUUCUUUCCUCUGA